Molecule: transfer RNA, 90 nt
Organism: Schizopora paradoxa
Lineage: Eukaryota; Fungi; Basidiomycota; Agaricomycetes; Hymenochaetales; Schizoporaceae
Rfam family: tRNA
About the family: Transfer RNA (tRNA) molecules are approximately 80 nucleotides in length. Their secondary structure includes four short double-helical elements and three loops (D, anti-codon, and T loops).
Source: Rfam
GCCCUUAUAGCUCAGUGGUAGAGCGCGCCACUCGUACGAUUACGAGUUUAUCUCAUGGUGAGGUCGGUUGUUCAAUCCAGCCUGGGGGCA